RNAcentral lists this ribosomal RNA (26 nucleotides) under uncultured fungus. Its description in RNAcentral is "partial 18S ribosomal RNA". The record is from RNAcentral. RNAcentral also lists the same sequence under 1 other name. Lineage: Eukaryota; Fungi.
GUAGGUGACCUGCGGAGGGAUCAUUA